GAAUCUCUCUAUAUAAAAGGAUAGUGGGCAGGGGUCUGCAAAGAGAGGGGUCAUGUGGGAGGAAAGAGCCCCUUCAGGAGAAGGAGGCUGCCUUUGUGUGAAUUAGAUGAGGAAACAAGAUGAACAAGAGCUGUAAUUCUUGAGUUUGUCUUGUGGGCCUUCAUGGAAAGCCGCAAGUAAAGUGUUUGAAAACAGAAGAGCUGGAUCAAGCCAGGAGUUCAUGUUGGACAGUUGUUUUUAACUUUCCUUCUUCACAAAGUGGAUUGGAUCAGUUGAAUACUGGACUUUUUAAAGACAAAAGUGGGGAGUGGGAAGGACAUGUGUGAGAACUGUUAAGUUAAACGUUUCUUGUUAGUGAAUAUUUGCAUAAAUACGUAUCACUUGUUUUAUC
Hemicordylus capensis (graceful crag lizard) is the source of this 391-nucleotide long non-coding RNA. RefSeq lists it as uncharacterized. Lineage: Eukaryota; Metazoa; Chordata; Lepidosauria; Squamata; Cordylidae. The transcript has 2 exons. The record is from RefSeq and is a predicted model, not a curated record.